UACAGAGGGUGCGAGCGUUGUUCGGAAUUAUUGGGCGUAAAGGGCGCGUAGGCGGUGCGGUAAGUCACCUGUGAAAUCUCCUGGCUCAACUGGGAGCUUGCAGGCGAAACUGCCGUGCUGGAGUGUGGGAGAGGUGCGUGGAAUUCCUGGUGUAGCGGUGAAAUGCGUAGAUAUCAGGAGGAACACCUGUGGCGAAAGCGGCGCACUGGACCACAACUGCGCUGAGGCGCGAAAGCUAGGGGAGCAAACAGG
RNAcentral lists this ribosomal RNA (252 nucleotides) under uncultured bacterium. RNAcentral describes it as "partial 16S ribosomal RNA". It matches the Rfam family "Bacterial small subunit ribosomal RNA", at positions 524 to 776 of the family's 1533-position model. The record is from RNAcentral.